RNAcentral lists this ribosomal RNA (465 nucleotides) under uncultured Acholeplasma sp. RNAcentral's name for it is "bacterial SSU rRNA". It matches the Rfam family "Bacterial small subunit ribosomal RNA", at positions 912 to 1382 of the family's 1533-position model. Lineage: Bacteria; Bacillati; Mycoplasmatota; Mollicutes; Acholeplasmatales; Acholeplasmataceae. The record is from RNAcentral.
GACGGGACCCCGCACAAGCGGUGGAUCAUGUUGUUCAAUUCGAUGAUACGCGAAGAACCUUACCAGGUCUUGACAUCCCCCGCGAUGCUUUAGAGAUAAAGCGGAGGUAUUCGGGGAGACAGGUGGUGCAUGGUUGUCGUCAGCUCGUGUCGUGAGAUGUUGGGUUAAGUCCCGCAACGAGCGCAACCCCUAUUGCUAGUUACCAUCAUUAAGUUGGGGACUCUAGCGAGACUGCCAGUGAUAAACUGGAGGAAGGUGGGGAUGACGUCAAAUCAUCAUGCCCCUUAUGACCUGGGCUACAAACGUGAUACAAUGGCUGGAGCAAAGGGAUGCGAAGCAGUGAUGUGGAGCGAAACCCAUAAAAACAGUCUCAGUUCGGAUUGAAGUCUGCAACUCGACUUCAUGAAGUCGGAAUCGCUAGUAAUCGCGGAUCAGAACGCCGCGGUGAAUACGUUCUCGGGGUUU